AGCUCAACUGGAAAGAGCGGAGGGUUUCUACCCCUCAGGUUGCGGGUUCGAGUCCUGUC
RNAcentral lists this transfer RNA (59 nucleotides) under Acidimicrobiaceae bacterium. Its description in RNAcentral is "tRNA-Arg". It matches the Rfam family "tRNA", at positions 9 to 64 of the family's 71-position model. Rfam says of the family: Transfer RNA (tRNA) molecules are approximately 80 nucleotides in length. Their secondary structure includes four short double-helical elements and three loops (D, anti-codon, and T loops). Lineage: Bacteria; Bacillati; Actinomycetota; Acidimicrobiia; Acidimicrobiales; Acidimicrobiaceae. The record is from RNAcentral.